CAGGGAGGGUGAGACAGCAACAUGGUAGAGAGGGAGAGAGAGACAUGGUAGAGAGGGAGAGAGAGAGACAUGGUAGAGAAGGAGAGAGAGACAUGGUAGAGAAGGAGAGAGAGACAUGGUAGAGAGGGAGAGAGAGACAUGGUAUAGAGGGAGAGAGAGACAUGGUAUAGAGGGAGAGAGAGACAUGGUAGAGAGGGAGAGAGAGACAUGGUGGACAGGGAGAGAGAGACAUGGUGGAGAGGGAGAGAGAGACAUGGUGGAGAGGGAGAGAGAGACAUGGUGGAGAGGGAGAGAGAGACAUGGUGGAGAGGGAGAGAGAGACAUGGUAUAGAGGGAGAGAGAGACAUGGUAGAGAGGGAGAGAGAGACAUGGUAGAGAGGGAGAGAGAGACAUGGUAGAGAGGUAGAGAGAGACAUGGUAGAGAGGGAGAGAGAGACAUGGUAGAGAGGGAGAGAGAGACAUGGUAGAGAGGGAGAGAGAGACAUGGUAGAGAGGGAGAGAGAGACAUGGUAGAGAGGGAGAGAGAGACAUGGUAGAGAGGGAGAGAGAGACAUGGUGGACAGGGAGAGAGAGACAUGGUAGAGAGGGAGAGAGAGAGAGACAUGGUAGAGAGGGAGAGAGAGACAUGGUGGACAGGGAGAGAGAGACAUGGUAUAGAGGGAGAGAGAGAGAGACAUGGUAUAGAGGGAGAGAGAGACAUGGUGGACAGGGAGAGAGAGACAUGGUGGACAGGGAGAGAGAGACAUGGUGGAGAGGGAGAGAGAGACAUGGUGGACAGGGAGAGAGAGACAUGGUAGAGAAGGAGAGAGAGAGACAUGGUAGAGAGGGAGAGAGAGACAUGGUGGACAGGGAAAGAGAGACAUGGUGGACAGGGAGAGAGAGACAUGGUGGACAGGGAGAGAGAGACAUGGUAGAGAGGGAGAGAGAGACAUGGUGGACAGGGAAAGAGAGACAUGGUGGACAGGGAAAGAGAGACAUGGUGGACAGGGAGAGAGAGACAUGGUGGACAGGGAGAGAGAGACAUGGUGGACAGGGAGAGAGAGACAUGGUAGAUAGGGAGAGAGAGACAUGGUAGAGAGGGAGAGAGAGACAUGGGAGAGAGAGACAUGGUGGACAGGGAGAGAGAGGGGCUGACAGGAGAGAGAGAGAGACAUGGUGGAGAGGGAGAGAGAGACAUGGUGGAGAGGGAGAGAGAGACAUGGUGGACAGGGAGAGAGAGACAUGGUAGAGAGGGAGAGAGAGACAUGGUAGAGAGGGAGAGAGAGACAUGGUGGACAGGGAGAGAGAGACAUUGUGGACAGGGAGAGAGAGACAUGGUGGACAGGGAGAGAGAGACAUGGUAGAGAGGGAGAGAGAGACAUGGUAGAGAGGGAGAGAGAGACAUGGUAGAGAGGGAGAGAGAGACAUGGUAGAGAGGGAGAGAGAGAGACAUGGUGGAGAGGUCUGACAAGAGGGAGAAGGGCUCAGAGGGCUGAGACUGGGGCAGGGUUAGCGAGGGGGAGUUACUUAGACUAGGUAGGGUUGUCACAUUCCAGUGUAAAUAUGGAAUAGGUGAAAAGAGAGGUCGUCCUAAAAGUAAUCUGAGAAGAGACUGAGGUUCAGUGAACUGCAGGUCAUACAUUAAAUAAUGGGCUAUAUUUACUCAAUGAUUUCACCAGCACACAUACUGCAAACAUAAACACUUGGUAAAUGUAUAGAUAAACACUUGGUAAAUGUAUAGAUAAACACUUGGUAAAUGUAUAGAUAAACAUAAUGCUACAACAUGAAUCUGCACAUUAUGAAUUCCUUUUCUUGUCCUUAAACCCUCCUCCAACUCCGCCUCCUCCCCUCCCUGUACCAUAGACUCCUCCCCCUUCCUCCUCCUCCACCCAUCACAUGAGAGUGUGUUAUGUCAUCAGGUUUCCCCUGUUUGUGCUUCCCUCCGUAUAGGCAACCCUGCAGAUCCAUCUCUCUAUCCAUCACUCCAUCCAUCUCUAUCUAUCUUUCUAUCUACCUCCCACCUUACCUUAUGACAAAUACCUCUGUUCCUCAGGCAUAUUCUUCUGCAGGGUGCUUUGUCUGACCUGUUAGGGCUUGGCUUGAACAAAAGCCUGAACACUGCGGCCCUGGAGGACCAGAGUUGCCCAUAUAUGUCUUAAAAGGUCAAAUGUGGGCAAAACCUCCACAGACACAAUGAGGGACACUGAGCCUUUGAGUUUUGCUCUGUCGGCUGUUCUAUUUCUCGUUCCUGUGAGUCCAUCUCUUAUCAAAAGCACACAUAGCUCUGUGAUCCCUCUUGUUCCUAAAGCUGAGUACAGAAAACAGGUCUUGGGUGAUAUAGUAUAGCAAUAAGGUCAGAGGGGGUGUGGUAUAUGGCCAAUAUACCACGACGAAGGUACCUGGAUACAGCCCUUAGCCGUGGUAUAUUGUCCACAUAAAACAAACCCCAGAGAUGCCUUACCGCUAUUAUAAACAGGUUCCGAAUGUAAUUAGAACAGUACAAAUAAAUGUUUUGUCAUAUAUGGUCUCAUAUACCACGGCUUUCAGCCAAUCAGCAUUCAGGGCUGGAACCACCCAAUUUAUAAUGAAGCAUAGUAGGCAGAUGUAUGUGAGCAUAACCUCAGUCUCAUCAGUAGCUGUGUGCUCCCUUUGUACCUUCUAACAAAUGUUUAAUGCAAUAAGUAAACAGUACACAUAUAUAACAUACGCCCCCUUUUCUGCAUUGUUUUCCUUGCUGAAUAAAUAUACUACCUAUCCACUAACACACCCAACCUAUCGCUUACAAACUUAAGUUUGUCCUCAUGUGCCAUUGCGGGGUAAGGAAGGGUAGGGUCAGGCGUGAUAGCAAAGAGCAACUGUGCUAACUGUGCACACAACACACACACACACACACACACACACACACACACACACACACAGCAGCCCAGUGACCUUUCCCCUACUUCCUCUACCAGCCCCUAGGUGCUUACUGGGAGAAGUGUAGGAAUCCAGUCAGUAUUCUGUAA
Molecule: long non-coding RNA, 2984 nt
Organism: Oncorhynchus tshawytscha (Chinook salmon)
Lineage: Eukaryota; Metazoa; Chordata; Actinopteri; Salmoniformes; Salmonidae
Source: Ensembl